AUGACGCUGGCGGCAUGCCUUACACAUGCAAGUCGAACGGCAGCACGGGGGCAAUCCUGGUGGCGAGUGGCGAACGGGUGAGUAAUACAUCGGAACGUGCCCUGUAGUGGGGGAUAACUAGUCGAAAGACUAGCUAAUACCGCAUACGACCUGAGGGUGAAAGUGGGGGACCGCAAGGCCUCAUGCUAUAGGAGCGGCCGAUGUCUGAUUAGCUAGUUGGUGGGGUAAAGGCCUACCAAGGCGACGAUCAGUAGCUGGUCUGAGAGGACGAUCAGCCACACUGGGACUGAGACACGGCCCAGACUCCUACGGGAGGCAGCAGUGGGGAAUUUUGGACAAUGGGGGCAACCCUGAUCCAGCAAUGCCGCGUGUGUGAAGAAGGCCUUCGGGUUGUAAAGCACUUUUGUCCGGGAAGAAAUCGCACCUGAUAAUACCGGGUGUGGAUGACGGUACCGGAAGAAUAAGGACCGGCUAACUACGUGCCAGCACCCGCGGUAAUACGUAGGGUCCAAGCGUUAAUCGGAAUUACUGGGCGUAAAGCGUGCGCAGGCGGUUGUGCAAGACCGAUGUGAAAUCCCCGGGCUUACCUGGGAAUUGCAUUGGUGACUGCACGGCUAGAGUGUGUCAGAGGGGGGUAGAAUUCCACGUGUAGCAGUGAAAUGCGUAGAGAUGUGGAGGAAUACCGAUGGCGAAGCAGCCCCUGGGAUACACUGACGCUCAUGCACGAAAGCGUGAGAGCAACAGGAUUAGAUACCCUGGUAGUCCACGCCCUAAACGAUGUCAACUAGUGUGGGAUUCAUUUCCUUAGUAACGUAGCUAACGCGUGAAGUUGACCGCCUGGGGAGUACGGUCGCAAGAUUAAAACUCAAAGGAAUUGACGGGGACCCGCACAAGCGGUGGAUGAUGUGGAUUAAUUCGAUGCAACGCGAAAAACCUUACCUACCCUUGACAUGCCACUAACGAAGCAGAGAUGCAUUAGGUGCUCGAAAGAGAAAGUGGACACAGGUGCUGCAUGGCUGUCGUCAGCUCGUGUCGUGAGAUGUUGGGUUAAGUCCCGCAACGAGCGCAACCCUUGUCUCUAGUUGCUACGAAAGGGCACUCUAGAGAGACUGCCGGUGACAAACCGGAGGAAGGUGGGGAUGACGUCAAGUCCUCAUGGCCCUUAUGGGUAGGGCUUCACACGUCAUACAAUGGUGCAUACAGAGGGUUGCCAAGCCGCGAGGUGGAGCCAAUCCCAGAAAAUGCAUCGUAGUCCGGAUCGUAGUCUGCAACUCGACUACGUGAAGCUGGAAUCGCUAGUAAUCGCGGAUCAGCAUGCCGCGGUGAAUACGUUCCCGGGUCUUGUACACACCGCCCGUCACACCAUGGGAGUGGGUUUUGCCAG
RNAcentral lists this ribosomal RNA (1384 nucleotides) under uncultured beta proteobacterium. RNAcentral's name for it is "bacterial SSU rRNA". It matches the Rfam family "Bacterial small subunit ribosomal RNA". Lineage: Bacteria; Pseudomonadati; Pseudomonadota; Betaproteobacteria. The record is from RNAcentral.